This 1147-nucleotide long non-coding RNA is filed under the name Oryza sativa (Asian cultivated rice). RNAcentral's name for it is "long non-coding RNA (OSAT_LNC000709)". The record is from RNAcentral. Lineage: Eukaryota; Viridiplantae; Streptophyta; Magnoliopsida; Poales; Poaceae.
GUGUGUGGAGUAAAGAAAAGAAAGAGAAAAGGCACAAGUUGUGCGUGGUGUCACAAAUACUCUGUGUGUUGUGUUCUUCUUCUUCCUUGUACUCUUCACGUGUAAGUGUGAUUUGUGUCCACUGUGUUCACAUGAGUUGCUUUGAUUCCCAACAGAUUCAUGCCUUCUGCAUUAUGGUUGUUUGAUCUAUAUAUUGAAGUGUAUCCAUAUAUUCAUGCAUGAUUCAGUGAGUAGAUUAGAUACAUCGUACCUAAAAUAAUACACAUCACGAGUUGUUGUCUGGUCGUUUCAUUGGUGCUAUAUAUGUGUGAUCAUCUGACUAUUCUGGUGCGUGCAUGCAGGGUUGUUCUAAGCUUCUGAAAACAAUAGAAGAACUAUGAUCUUGCGUGUCAUUGCUACAAUUUUGAUUGUCCACUGAACUAGAUUAUGCCUGAUUCAUACGAUCAACAUUUGUCAUUUCACCCUAAUAUACACCAUGAAAUCCCCAUCUAGAUUUUCUAUGAGUUUUCAUGAUUUUUUUGUUUUUUCAACCUGUAAGCAUCGCCUAUCCUAUGCAAUGCUCAUAGCCUCAUAAUAUUUGUUCAAUCCACUAAUCCUGCCUACUCAUAGUGUAGAGCAAAAUUUCAUCUUGUAGGAGCAUAUUUUAACCCAAACAAUGACACAUGCAGGUGCAUCAGAAGAUGAAGUGCACUCAUACAGGUGAUCUGAAAAAAUAUUGUCACCAAUGCUGAACUAAAUGAAUAACUAAUAAUGCAUUUCAGAUGGUGAUUUCUAAAUCAAUCCUUUUCAGGCACUACUAAUAAUCCCGGCGACCUGCUCCAUCCCAAACUCCCGAUGCUAGCUUCAUGUUUUCUUGGCGUAGUGCUAUGCGUUAUUUUUCAUGUUAAUUCUAUGGUGGUUCGUGUGUUCUCGUUGUGUUGCCGACAGUGCUAUGUAUGUACUUGUAUAUAUGCUGCCUUGCUGUCUCCUCUAGAAUGUGAGAAUGGUGACGGUUUGGAUUGCCACGGCAGCCGUCAACAAGACAGGCGGUGCUAUAGCUUGUUCCAUUUGUAUUAUUUUUUAAAACUUUUUGCAAUCAUAUAAUUCGAUGUAAUAAUAUAUUUUGUAAAUAAGUUACUGAUCGUUUUAUUCUUCUCAGUGCAAAAGU